GAGUUUGAUCAUGGCUCAGGACGAACGCUGGCGGCGUGCUUAACACAUGCAAGUCGAACGAUGAAGCCUAGCUUGCUAGGUGGAUUAGUGGCGAACGGGUGAGUAAUACGUGAGUGACCUACCUUUGACUCUGGGAUAAGCCUGGGAAACUGGGUCUAAUACCGGAUACGACCAAUCUCCGCAUGGGGUGUUGGUGGAAAGCGUUAUGGAGUGGUUUUAGAUGGGCUCACGGCCUAUCAGCUUGUUGGUGAGGUAAUGGCUUACCAAGGCGACGACGGGUAGCCGGCCUGAGAGGGUGACCGGCCACACUGGGACUGAGACACGGCCCAGACUCCUACGGGAGGCAGCAGUGGGGAAUAUUGCACAAUGGGCGCAAGCCUGAUGCAGCGACGCCGCGUGAGGGAUGACGGCCUUCGGGUUGUAAACCUCUGUUAGCAUCGAAGAAGCGAAAGUGACGGUAGGUGCAGAGAAAGCGCCGGCUAACUACGUGCCAGCAGCCGCGGUAAUACGUAGGGCGCGAGCGUUGUCCGGAAUUAUUGGGCGUAAAGAGCUUGUAGGCGGUUGGUCGCGUCUGCUGUGAAAGGCUGGGGCUUAACCCUGGUUUUGCAGUGGGUACGGGCUAACUAGAGUGCAGUAGGGGAGACUGGAAUUCCUGGUGUAGCGGUGGAAUGCGCAGAUAUCAGGAGGAACACCGAUGGCGAAGGCAGGUCUCUGGGCUGUAACUGACGCUGAGAAGCGAAAGCAUGGGGAGCGAACAGGAUUAGAUACCCUGGUAGUCCAUGCCGUAAACGUUGGGCACUAGGUGUGGGGGACAUUCCACGUUUUCCGCGCCGUAGCUAACGCAUUAAGUGCCCCGCCUGGGGAGUACGGCCGCAAGGCUAAAACUCAAAGAAAUUGACGGGGGCCCGCACAAGCGGCGGAGCAUGCGGAUUAAUUCGAUGCAACGCGAAGAACCUUACCAAGGCUUGACAUAUACUGGACUGCGUCAGAGAUGGCGUUUCCCUUCGGGGGUGGUAGUCACGGGUGGCGCAUGGUUGUCGUCAGCUCGUGUCGUGAGAUGUUGGGUUAAGUCCCGCAACGAGCGCAACCCUCGUUCUAUGUUGCCAGCACGUGAUGGUGGGGACUCAUAGGAGACUGCCGGGGUCAACUCGGAGGAAGGUGGGGAUGACGUCAAAUCAUCAUGCCCCUUAUGUCUUGGGCUUCACGCAUGCUACAAUGGCCGGUACAGAGGGUUGCGAUACUGUGAGGUGGAGCUAAUCCCUAAAAGCCGGUCUCAGUUCGGAUUGGGGUCUGCAACUCGACCCCAUGAAGUCGGAGUCGCUAGUAAUCGCAGAUCAGCAACGCUGCGGUGAAUACGUUCCCGGGCCUUGUACACACCGCCCGUC
RNAcentral lists this ribosomal RNA (1385 nucleotides) under uncultured bacterium. Its description in RNAcentral is "bacterial SSU rRNA". It matches the Rfam family "Bacterial small subunit ribosomal RNA". The record is from RNAcentral.